This 1200-nucleotide ribosomal RNA is filed under the name Soonwooa buanensis. RNAcentral describes it as "bacterial SSU rRNA". It matches the Rfam family "Bacterial small subunit ribosomal RNA", at positions 241 to 1460 of the family's 1533-position model. The record is from RNAcentral. Lineage: Bacteria; Pseudomonadati; Bacteroidota; Flavobacteriia; Flavobacteriales; Weeksellaceae.
UUAGUAGUGGUAGGUAACGCCUACCAAGCCGAUGAUCUUAGGGGCCUGAGAGGUGAUCCCCCACACUGGUACUGAGACACGGACCAGACUCCUACGGGAGGCAGCAGUGAGGAAUAUUGGACAAUGGGUUAGCGCCUGAUCCAGCCAUCCCGCGUGAAGGACGACGGUUCUAUGGAUUGUAAACUUCUUUUAUAUAGGGAUAAACCUACUCUCGUGAGAGUAGCUGAAGGUACUAUAUGAAUAAGCACCGGCUAACUCCGUGCCAGCAGCCGCGGUAAUACGGAGGGUGCAAGCGUUAUCCGGAUUUAUUGGGUUUAAAGGGUCCGUAGGCGGGCUUGUAAGUCAGUGGUGAAAUCCGGCAGCUCAACUGUCGAACUGCCAUUGAUACUGCAAGUCUUGAGUAAAUUAGAAGUGGCUGGAAUAAGUAGUGUAGCGGUGAAAUGCAUAGAUAUUACUUAGAACACCAAUUGCGAAGGCAGGUCACUAUGUUUUAACUGACGCUGAUGGACGAAAGCGUGGGUAGCGAACAGGAUUAGAUACCCUGGUAGUCCACGCCGUAAACGAUGAUUACUCGUUUUUGGGGCGCAAGUUUCAGAGACUAAGCGAAAGUGAUAAGUAAUCCACCUGGGGAGUACGUUCGCAAGAAUGAAACUCAAAGGAAUUGACGGGGGCCCGCACAAGCGGUGGAGCAUGUGGUUUAAUUCGAUGAUACGCGAGGAACCUUACCAAGGCUUAAAUGGGAAUUGACAGGCUUAGAAAUAGGCUUUUCUUCGGACAAUUUUCAAGGUGCUGCAUGGUUGUCGUCAGCUCGUGCCGUGAGGUGUUAGGUUAAGUCCUGCAACGAGCGCAACCCCUGUCACUAGUUGCUAACAUUAAGUUGAGGACUCUAGUGAGACUGCCUACGCAAGUAGAGAGGAAGGUGGGGAUGACGUCAAAUCAUCACGGCCCUUACGCCUUGGGCCACACACGUGCUACAAUGGACGGUACAGAGGGCAGCUACCAGGUGACUGGAUGCAAAUCUCGAAAGCCGUUCUCAGUUCGGAUUGGAGUCUGCAACUCGACUCUAUGAAGCUGGAAUCGCUAGUAAUCGCGCAUCAGCCAUGGCGCGGUGAAUACGUUCCCGGGCCUUGUACACACCGCCCGUCAAGCCAUGGAAGUUUGGGGUACCUGAAGUCGGUGACCGUAACAGGAGCUGCCUAG